Long non-coding RNA from Lycium barbarum (goji berry), 411 nucleotides. RefSeq lists it as uncharacterized. NCBI's taxonomy places the organism in Eukaryota, Viridiplantae, Streptophyta, Magnoliopsida, Solanales, Solanaceae. The transcript is spliced from 3 exons. The record is from RefSeq and is a predicted model, not a curated record.
CACCUCUCUCCUCGUCAUCGGCCUGAAAAGGGCAAAGGUUGAAUUCGCCUUUGGUUUACGCAGCAGAUGCUCAAUCAAAUGGGGUAAAGCAUUAAUUGCGUUACCCUCUCUCCACCAUAGCACAACCAAACAAGUUGUGAGGUUGAGGAGCGAAGGGGUCUCCAAAGGUUCAAUCUCGAUCAAGGCUGCGCUAAAAAAAGAUUGUGUUCCAAAGAUUCCAUACAGACCACAUUUCUAGCUUGAGCUAGUUAGCUUGAUCGGAUCUGAGGGUGAGCUUCUAUUCAUGCCAUGUCACCUGAAGAUCUCUCUUUCUACAUGUCUACUUCCAUUCCAUACAUUAUUUGUUAUUAUAUUUGAGAUAUACUUCAUUCUUUAGACAUUGUUGGUUAGAGUCUUUUUAUGAUGACUUAC